CUACGGGUCGCUGCAGUGGGGAAUAUUGCACAAUGGGCGCAAGCCUGAUGCAGCCAUGCCGCGUGUAUGAAGAAGGCCUUCGGGUUGUAAAGUACUUUCAGCGGGGAGGAAGGGAGUAAAGUUAAUACCUUUGCUCAUUGACGUUACCCGCAGAAGAAGCACCGGCAAACUCGCGUGCCAGCAGCCGCGGUAAUACGGAGGGUGCAAGCGUUAAUCGGAAUUACUGGGCGUAAAGCGCACGCAGGCGGUUUGUUAAGUCAGAUGUGAAAUCCCCGGGCUCAACCUGGGAACUGCAUCUGAUACUGGCAAGCUUGAGUCUCGUAGAGGGGGGUAGAAUUCCAGGUGUAGCGGUGAAAUGCGUAGAGAUCUGGAGGAAUACCGGUGGCGAAGGCGGCCCCCUGGACGAAGACUGACGCUCAGGUGCGAAAGCGUGGGGAGCAAACAGGAUUAGAUACCCGAGUAGUC
Molecule: ribosomal RNA, 465 nt
Filed under: uncultured bacterium
Lineage: Bacteria
Description: partial 16S ribosomal RNA
Rfam family: Bacterial small subunit ribosomal RNA
Source: RNAcentral